Molecule: transfer RNA, 19 nt
Filed under: Plagiomnium cuspidatum
Lineage: Eukaryota; Viridiplantae; Streptophyta; Bryopsida; Bryales; Mniaceae
Also listed under: 4 other names
Description: partial tRNA-Phe
Source: RNAcentral
AAAAAAGCCGGAAUAGCUC